UGACGGUACCCUUUCGAAUAAGAGGUUGCUAACUCUGUGCCAGCAGCAGCGGUAAUACAGAGACCUCGAGCGUUAUCCGGAUUUACUGGGCGUAAAGCGUCUGUAGGGGGUUUGUUAAGUUCCAAGUAAAAUCUUGAGGCUCAACUUUAAGUUCGCUUGGAAAACUAAUAAACUGGAGUCCAGCAGAGGUGCAUGGAACUUGCGGUGUAGGAGUGAAAUCCGUUGAUAUCGCAAGGAACACCAAAGGCGAAGGCAUUGCACUGGGCUGGUACUGACCCUGAGAGACGAAAGCGUGGGGAGCAAAACGGAUUAGAUACCCGUGUAGCCCACGCCGUAAACGAUGGAUACUAGAUGUUCGGGGAUUCGACCCCCUGGGUGUCACAGCUAACGCGUUAAGUAUCCCGCCUGGGAAGUACGGCCGCAAGGCUAAAACUCAAAGGAAUAGACGGGGAUCCGCACAAGCGGUGGAGCGUCUGGUUUAAUUUGAUAGUAAGCAAUGGACCUCACCAAGGUUUGACAUCCUAUGACAACCCUGGAAACAGGGCUCCCUUCGGGCAUAGUGACAGGUGCUGCAUGGUCGUCGUCAGUUCGUGCCGUGAGGUGUUCUGUUAAGUCGGGAAACGAACGAAACCCUCGUCGCAUGUUACAAAUUUCAUGCGAGACUGCCCGGGUCAACCGGGAGGAAGGCGGGGAUGACGUCAGAUCAGCAUGGCCCUUAUACCUUGGGCUACACAGGCGCUACAAUGGCCGGUACAAAGGGUUGCAAAACCGCGAGGUGAAGCUAAUCCCAUAAAGCCGGUCCAAGUUCGGAUUGGAGGCUGCAACUCGCCUCCAUGGAGUUGGAAUCGCUAGUAAUCGUGGAUCAGCCAUACCACGGUGAAUACGUUCCCGGAUCUUGUACUCACCGCCCGUCACACCAAGAGAGUUGGUAGCUCCUGAAGCGUCGCAUUAG
RNAcentral lists this ribosomal RNA (952 nucleotides) under uncultured organism. Its description in RNAcentral is "bacterial SSU rRNA". It matches the Rfam family "Bacterial small subunit ribosomal RNA", at positions 470 to 1438 of the family's 1533-position model. The record is from RNAcentral.